UACGUAGGGGGCAAGCGUUGUCCGGAAUUAUUGGGCGUAAAGGGCGCGCAGGCGGUUUCCUAAGUCUGAUGUGAAAGGCCACGGCUCAACCGUGGAAUGGCAUUGGAAACUGGGGAACUUGAGUACAGGAGAGGAGAGUGGAAUUCCACGUGUAGCGGUGAAAUGCGUAGAGAUGUGGAGGAACACCAGUGGCGAAGGCGGCUCUCUGGCCUGUAACUGACGCUGAGGCGCGAAAGCGUGGGGAGCGAACAGGAUUAGAAACCCCCGUAGUCC
This 273-nucleotide ribosomal RNA is filed under the name uncultured bacterium. Its description in RNAcentral is "partial 16S ribosomal RNA". It matches the Rfam family "Bacterial small subunit ribosomal RNA", at positions 524 to 796 of the family's 1533-position model. The record is from RNAcentral.